CGGAGGCGGCCAGCCAAGCCGAGAGAAGAUUGAAAACUGCCUGACAUCACGAACAAUGUGGGAAAGCUUGAGACCUUACUCUCCUCUAGUUGUCACGCGACAAGCACGUGGAGGUGUUGCUGGACUUCGCUCUGCUUUUGAACAGAGGCCCAAGAGGACCCAUUUGUGACAUCUUAGCAGUUUUAUCCAUGUAAUCGAUUGGCUGAAAACUGAAAAGUUUGUUCAGGAGGUGUUGUUACAAUGGAGUGAGAAGUCACCCUUGGCUGCCUCAAGAAUCACUUGGUGGGUGCUAAUAUCUAGGAGUUGGAGGAGGUGCCAAUUGUAUGCCAAUGGCCCGUAGACUCUGACUAAAAUUUCCUAAGUUAGGAGAGAAGAGGGCCAUGGCAUAUACCAUAGACAAGUAGUAAAUGAACUUUUGCCGAAGCAUUAAUUCAUUCCUAAGCCAGGGGUUCUUGGAAUUCAUUUGGAGCAAACCCCAGUCCUUUACAAAGUCCCAAUACAAUUGGUACACUGUUGCAGCACUGGACAUGACCACAAGAAGACAGAGCCAUCCAGCACCACCAUCUUUCUCGUAGGCCACUUUUGCUCCUGCUGCGAACAUGGCUGAUACAUAUUUGCCUAGAUUGACAAGGUGGCUUGUCUGGCCCUCAUCGAACCACCGCCGGGCACACUGCAAGUUCAGGUAAAUUGAUUAUUGAGAAAAGGAGAUGAACAUAUAAUUUUAUACAGUUUAUGAAAAUCAAGGAACUAAUUUAGGGUGAACUGGAGAGAUUAAUACUGUACCUGCAUUGCCCUCCAGUAAUAUGGUAGAAAAGAAACUGCAUAAACAAGAUCCCGGUAAUGCCUGGCCUCCUUGCAAUGCAUAUAGUCCUCGGUUUUAUAGCUCCCAGUUAUAUAGUAACACGCCACAUAUUCUAGAUUUCUGAGCAUUGGCACCUAUUUAAGAUAGCAAAGCAUUUUGUUAAUCUAUGAGGUUUGAGGCACCUAAUGAUUAUUUAGACUCUUUAAGGUUUCCCAAGUUUUGUUGCUCUUAUUUGGUGCUGAAACCAACCUGACUACAUAGUUGAUCAGCCAUGAAAAAGUCCAGCAUGACAACCUGCAGAGAAUAAGAUAAAUGAAUUAGAAUGACAAUUUUUGAUAUAAUAUAUUAUUAAAAGAAAAUGUUUAUAAGCGUAUCUGAAUGAUCUUAUUGUGAUAUAAAGAUGAUGGAGUGUUGAAGUAAUGUGGUACCUUGUAGAGAGGUGAUAAAAUGAUGUUCCUUAUCACACUAAGGAAACGAUAACGGCUUGAUCGAUAGAAAAUAUUGAAGGGGCACACAAGUAAA
Juglans microcarpa x Juglans regia is the source of this 1324-nucleotide long non-coding RNA. RefSeq lists it as uncharacterized. The record is from RefSeq and is a predicted model, not a curated record. Lineage: Eukaryota; Viridiplantae; Streptophyta; Magnoliopsida; Fagales; Juglandaceae. The transcript is spliced from 2 exons.